Molecule: ribosomal RNA, 396 nt
Filed under: uncultured bacterium
Lineage: Bacteria
Description: partial 16S ribosomal RNA
Rfam family: Bacterial small subunit ribosomal RNA
Source: RNAcentral
AUACGUAGGGGGCGAGCGUUGUCCGGAAUGAUUGGGCGUAAAGGGCGCGUAGGCGGCCGCUUAAGUCUGGAGUGAAAGUCCUGUUUUCAAGAUGGGAAUUGCUUUGGAUACUGGGGGGCUUGAGUGCAGGAGAGGUUAUCGGAAUUCCCGGUGUAGCGGUGAAAUGCGUAGAGAUCGGGAGGAACACCAGUGGCGAAGGCGGGUAACUGGACUGCAACUGACGCUGAGGCGCGAAAGUGUGGGGAGCAAACAGGAUUAGAUACCCUGGUAGUCCACGCUGUAAACGAUGAAUACUAGGUGUGGGGGGACUGACCCCCUCCGUGCCGCAGUUAACACAAUAAGUAUUCCACCUGGGGAGUACGAUCGCAAGAUUGAAACUCAAAUGAAUUGACGGGG